UACAGAGGUCUCAAGCGUUGUUCGGAUUCAUUGGGCGUAAAGCGUGUGUAGGCGGGCCCGUAAGUGUCUUGUGAAAUCCCACGGCUCAACCGUGGAACUGCUGGGCAUACUGCGGGUCUUGGGCCAACUAGGGGCAGCCGGAACAAGCGGUGGAGCGGUGAAAUGCGUAGAUAUCGCUUGGAACGCCGAAGGUGAAAACAGGCUGCUGGGGUUGCGCCGACGCUGAGACACGAAAGCCAGGGGAGCAAACGGG
Molecule: ribosomal RNA, 253 nt
Filed under: uncultured bacterium
Lineage: Bacteria
Description: partial 16S ribosomal RNA
Rfam family: Bacterial small subunit ribosomal RNA
Source: RNAcentral